Non-coding RNA from Schizosaccharomyces pombe (fission yeast), 233 nucleotides. The record is from the annotation of a GenBank genome assembly. Lineage: Eukaryota; Fungi; Ascomycota; Schizosaccharomycetes; Schizosaccharomycetales; Schizosaccharomycetaceae.
AAUUUGCAGCGUUCUGUUCUACUUCUUCACCGUCAGCGGCAUCUUCCUUUGCGGUUGUCCCGGGCACAUACAAACGCAUCUCAACAAGCUCAUCAACUUGAGCAGAAGGAAUUUGCUUAUCGUCUGUUGUAGAGAAUUCCAAAGCCACCUCAUUUUUUCCCGAAAGAUUAGUAUUCGUGACAGCUGAAAUAGGAAUCUCAAAGGCUGGCCGAGAAUUGACAUCAAACACAAGU